GUAAUUGCAUUAUGAAGAACUUUCUCUAUUGAAGUACGAGGCAUCAUGAUAAUAUGAAUAGUGCCAUGAAACCAACGAUGGGGAUACAUAUUUUAACCCAAAAACUUUUAAUCUUGUUGUAUGCAACGAAACAACAUCGCAUGCGGGUAUAUGCGGCUCAAACAUUCCGCCGCAAAGACCCUGAUUGCCAUCGAGUGCAAUAGCUGUAAUCUUUUUGAACCACCCGGCACUCUUCCCAUGAGAUGACUGCGGGGCGAAUUUAACGGACUGAGAGCUUGUAGAUCACAUAGAGCAACUGGGAUAGUAUCUAUCCAAUUGUUGUGUGAAAGGUUAAGAAUAGUGUCUCCCCCAAAAGUUGGUGGUUUUGAUACUGCUUUAAUUCCCAAACAACCACGUUAAUUCCCUGUACUUUGAAUGUCCCUGUUUAGCAGUCUAGCCUACUUCGCUCUUAAAUUCAUAAGACUAGCAAUAACAUUAACCCGGGUAAGAAUUUAUGGUGGCUCUACAUCACAAGUUCUGACCCGGAUUAAAAUGUGUCCACUUGGGUCCGACAUUUUGGGGUCACAAAAAUCCAUCAGAUCGGAACUUAUUAAACUUCCUCUGGUUCCUUUAACCUCAUUAUUCCCUGCAUUUCACAACCUUGGAUAUGUUUCUUUUAAACAACCCCCUCAACAUUGUCCUUAGCUAAACAGUUGAUCGGACUUCCUACGACUCCUUCCAAAUUUUCUUCCAUUUUCACACUAAGACUGUCCAGGUUCUCGUAAGCAUGCAGAUCUACCUCUUAAGAUGCCAAUUCAAUCAUACUCAUAUGGUUACCCACAAUAUCCUCCUUUCCUUUCACUGCUACCGGGCGAGUAGAUGUUGUCUUCCUGAAGAUAGGAUAGUCACCUAAUUUUUUGCGCCAGCAAGUCGAGCCUGCAUCUUCUGUAUUAUGAAUUGGAGAGAAAAAGAUUUCAUCUUGUUGUUUUGAUUUCUUAACUUCCAAUCGGUUUACCUUGACUUUCAUGGUUUUCUGAUAUAUCUCCGAGGCAUCAAAAUCAAUGGAUUCCUGAGCUCUCGUCAAGUGGCCUCAUAUUCAUCCAAUUUCUUUAACCGUUUUUCUUCAUAACUUUUCCUAUAUUACGAUCUCGUGCAAG
This 1136-nucleotide long non-coding RNA is filed under the name Setaria viridis. RNAcentral's name for it is "long non-coding RNA (SVIR_LNC002217)". The record is from RNAcentral. Lineage: Eukaryota; Viridiplantae; Streptophyta; Magnoliopsida; Poales; Poaceae.